GUAUAUUGGGGAACUCACUAAGCAUUUAUGCUUACAGUUGUUGUGCAUGUAUUUCAGGUACUAGCGAGGACCGUGGGAAGGCGCCGGCAUGAUCGAUACACACUGAAGAUUGUUUUAUGAUCUUGGGAGUUUGAAUAAUUGUAUUGACCGAAUAAUUAAACUGUUUAUGCCUUGUUUUUAAUGGAAAUAAUUAUGUUUUAAAAAUGAAAAAUUUGUUUGAAAAAUUUGAGUUGUUACAAUUGGUAUCAGAGCCUUGGUUUGAGGGAUUCGGGUGCACCUUCGGGGGUAACUGAACUCAAACCGAGGAUUUGAGGAAACUUUUCAAAUAAAGGCAUAAACUUUUGUAAAUGGUUUUGUGGUAAGCAAGAAAGAAGCAGUGUGUACGAUCAGUCAGCGCCCGAACGGUAAAGAUCCCCAAAAUACCUUACAAUAUUAUAUGAUAUGAAUUGUUAUGCAUGCUAGAAGACUAGGUAUUCAUGAUAGGACUAGAGUGGCCUGAUUUGUGAUGCCUUAGUCUAGGGAAGUUGCCUAUAUGAGAUGCUUUGCUAGUAUGCGGGUAGAUAGAGCGUAUCAGAAGUAGAGUACUCACUAUCUGGAGUUUGGGGAGGAGGACUUGGGAUGAACAUUGAUGCGGUGUGGUCGGUAGUAUUGGGCCCGUACUACCGAGGACACCGGGUCAGUGGGAGGCCCAAGUAAGAAUCCCUGGAUAUCUGGGACUGAGUAGGGUUGCGUGUCGAGUACGAUUAUACUCGGUAGAAUCUCUGAUAGUUUUAUGUUGUAUUUCAGAGAUAUCAUGGUUAGACCGCGGCACGGGGCAAGUACGAGCGGUGUGAGUGACGAGGAUAUUCGUCAGAUGAUCCACGAGGAGGUGGCGGCGGCGAUCCGGGCUGAGAUCCCGGAGAUGUUUGGGUCUAUCAAGACCACCCUGAUGGAGACGUUCGACGAGCGGUACGCCGCAUUGACUGAGGCUGCAACCGCUGCAGCUACCGCAGCUGUGGCCGCUGCUAGGCCACAGGGGGGUGAUUCAUUGCUGUUCCGAGAGUUCAGCAACACGAAGCCACCAGAGUUCGAUGGGACGCAGGAUCCGAUUGCUGCGAUGAGGUGGAUCGCAGAUAUAGAGGGGUGCUUCUACACUUGUUCAUGCCCGGAGCACCUGAGGGUACGGUUCGCUUUGAACCAGCUCCGUCUGGGAGCCAAGGACUGGUGGAAGUUCGUGACGGCGAACUUCACUUUAGCAGAGACUGCGGCAGUGACAUGGGAGGGGUUCACUACCAUGUUCAGGGAUGAGUACGUUCCCCCGGUGGAGCGGGAACGAUUGGUUCAGGAGUUCUUAACCCUCAAGCAGGGUACUGAUUCGGUGGCGGCGAUCACGCGGAAGUUCCAUGAGAGGGCGAUGUUUUGCCCCGAGCUGGUGGCCACAGAGCAGGCUCGGAUGAGCCGGUACUUGGGUGUUCUGAGGAGGGAGAUCCGGGAGUUUGUGUCAAACUCCACUUACCAUACUUUUACUGAGCUUCAGGCGAAUGCCAGGAAGCGUGAGAUCGAGUUAGAGACUCAGGCCAGGGAGGAGGCCGAGUCUCAGCAGGCAGACCGGCGACCGGCUCAGUCUCAGCCGGCAGCCAAGCGGAUCAAGUCCGCCGAUUCGAGGACGGGAGGUUCGAAGAACCGCACUUGCGUAAAGUGCGGUAAGGGUCACGAUGGGGCGUGUCGAGCCGGUGCUUGCUACAAGUGUGGCAAGGAGGGACACAUUGCUAGGGAGUGUCCCAAGGGAUUUAUGGUUUGCUUUCAUUGCAACCAGACCGGCCAUCGGAAGGCCGAGUGCCCUCAGCUUCGUCAGGGAUCUGCACCUGUUGCCAGGACUACUGAGACUCGACCGGUGAAGGUCGAGGCCCCGAGGGCUCGUGGGAGAGCCUUUCAGCUGACUGCGGAGGAGGUCCGCGCUGCGCCCGAUGUUGUGGCAGGUAUGUUGUAAUUCAUGUAAUUAUUUUAAUGUCGAUAUGUUAUGCUUAUGUUAUUAUGCGCGUAGGUACUUUCCUUGUGAACUCUGUGCCUGCCUUAGUGUUAUUUGACUCGGGUGCGAGUAGGUCCUUUGUGUCCUUGGCCUUUAGUCAGCAUAUUGGCGUUAGUCGUGAGUCGUUGAGUCGACCUUUGAGAGUCUCUAUAGCUGACGAGAAGGUGAUUUGUGCUACGGAGGUUCUUCGGGGAUGUGUACUAGAGAUUUUCGGGGUUGGAUUCCCGAUUGAUCUGAUUCCUAUCGCGAUGGGGGAUGUCUGUGUCAUCGUGGGCAUGGACUGGUUGAGCCGGUUCGGCGCUGUCAUCGACUGUGAGCGUCAGUUGGUGACUAUACGAGACCCUAGUGGGGGAGUUCUUUCGGUAUACGGCGAGGGUACCCGUUCGGGAUCAGCUUUUUGUUCGGCCGCUAGGGCGAGGCAGUGUCUACGACAGGGCUGUAAGGGUUUCGUGGCGUAUGUGAUGGAUACGCGGGAGGUUUCUGAGAAACCGAAGUCAGUUGAGGAAGUUCCGGUGGUGCGCGAGUUUUCAGAUGUCUUUCCCGAGGAGUUGCCGGGAGUACCGCCUGUGAGGCAAGUAGAGUUUAGUAUCGAUCUGGUUCCGGGGGCAGCGCCUAUUGCUAAAGUGCCCUAUCGUCUUGCACCUCCAGAGAUGCAAGAGUUGUCCUCGCAACUCCAGGAGUUGCUGGGAAAGGGAUUCAUUCGGCCGAGCAGCUCGCCAUGGGGAGCACCUAUUCUGUUCGUCAAGAAGAAGGAUGGUUCACACCGGAUGUGCAUUGAUUACCGGGAGUUGAACAAGCUAACGGUCAAGAACCGUUACCCGUUGCCGAGGAUCGAUGAUUUAUUCGAUCAGUUGCAGGGAGCAUCUUGGUUUUCCAAGAUCGAUCUGAGGUCAGGAUACCAUCAGGUGAGAGUACGGGAUGAAGACGUCCAGAAGACAGCGUUUAGGACGCGAUAUGGGCAUUAUGAGUUUGUGGUGAUGCCUUUUGGACUCACCAAUGCCCCGGCUGUGUUCAUGGAUCUCAUGAACAGGGUAUGCAGGCCGAUGUUGGAUCGGUCAGUGAUUGUAUUUAUCGACGACAUUCUGGUGUAUUCGAGAUCUAGAGAGCAGCAUGAGGAGCAUUUGAGGGAGGUCCUUGAGGUAUUGAGGUCGGAGAAGCUUUAUGCAAAGUUCUCCAAAUGUGACUUCUGGUUGCGGGAGGUCCAGUUUCUAGGACAUGUGGUUAAUCAGAAAGGGAUAUUGGUCGAUCCGGCCAAGGUUGAGGCGGUGAUGAGUUGGGAGGUGCCGAAGUCACCCUCUGAGAUCAGAAGUUUCCUUGGGUUGGCAGGGUAUUAUCGGAGAUUUAUCAAGGAUUUCUCCAAGAUCGCAGUGCCACUCACCAGAUUGACCCGGAAGGGUGUUACAUUCUCAUGGGGGCCCGAGCAGCAGACCUCCUUUGAGACACUUCGCCAGAGAUUGUGCGAAGCCCCGGUAUUAGCUCUCCCAGAAGGGAUGGAAGAUUUCGUGGUAUAUUGCGACGCAUCGAUUUCGGGAUUGGGUGCAGUGUUAAUGCAGAGGGGUCAUGUGAUAGCUUAUGCGUCGAGGCAGCUGAAGCCUCAUGAGGCGAGAUAUCCCACGCAUGAUUUAGAGUUGGGGGCAGUAGUGUUCGCUCUCAAGAUUUGGCGUCACUACUUGUAUGGGGUUCGAUGUACGAUAUACACGGACCAUAAGAGUUUGAAGUAUUUGAUGGAUCAACCCAACCUAAAUAUGCGUCAGAGGAGGUGGUUGGAUGUGGUCAAGGAUUAUGAUUGUGAGAUCCUGUACCACCCAGGCAAGGCUAAUGUGGUAGCCGAUGCAUUGAGCCGCAGGGCGGAGAGCACUCCAUUGCGAGACGUAUGCUUGAGACUGACUGUGAUGACUCCAGUAUUGGACGCUAUUCGUGGGGCCCAGGCAGAGGCUGUGCGACCAGAAAUGCAGAAGAAAGAGCGGGUUGUGGGGUUAAUCUCAGAGUUUGUCAAGGAUAGUCGAGGCCUUAUGACGUUUCAGGGUCGGAUUUGGGUACCGUUCGUGGGCGGUACGCGUAUUACGUUGAUGGAAGAGGCUCAUAGAUCGAAAUUCUCGAUCCAUCCCGGUGCUACAAAGAUGUAUUUGGAUUUAAGGAAGGAAUAUUGGUGGCCCUGUAUGAAGAGGGACGUGGCAUGGUUCGUUGAGAGGUGCUUGACCUGCCGUAGGGUUAAGGCUGAGCACCAGAGACCGCAUGGCAAGUUACAGCCAUUGGAGAUCCCCGAGUGGAAGUGGGAACAGAUUACUAUGGAUUUUAUCACCAAAUUGCCGAGGACUGCUAGGGGAGUUGACGCAAUUUGGGUGAUCGUGGAUAGGUUGACAAAGAGUGCACACUUCCUUGCCAUCAGUGAGAGUUCUUCGGCGGAGAAAUUGGCGGAGAUAUACGUGAGAGAGGUGGUAUCUCGGCACGGGGUGCCGAUCUCGAUUGUGUCAGACCGUGAUGUGCGCUUUACUUCCAGAUUCUGGAAGAAAUUCCAUGAGGAGCUGGGUACUAAAUUGCAUUUUAGUACCGCAUACCAUCCCCAGACAGACGGUCAGAGCGAGCGGACAAUUCAGACACUGGAGGACAUGCUCCGAGCGUGUGUGUUAGACUUCGGGGGUAGUUGGGAUGCGUAUUUACCAUUGGCAGAGUUCUCCUACAACAACAGCCAUCAUUCGAGCAUUGGUAUGCCACCUUUUGAGCUGUUGUAUGGUAGGAGGUGUCGGACCCCCAUUUGCUGGGGAGAGGUGGGACAGAGAGUGAUGGGCAGCACGGAGAUCGUGCUCCAGACGACAGAGCAGAUUCAGCAAGUGAGACAAAGGUUAUUGACUGCCCAGAGCCGACAGAAGAGUUAUGCAGACAGGCGCCGAUCCGAGCUUGAAUUUCAGGUCGGCGACUUCGUUCUCCUGAAGGUCUCUCCUUGGAAAGGAGUGAUUCGGUUCAGGAAGAGAGGCAAGUUGGGGCCCCGGUAUAUUGGGCCAUUUCGUGUGAUUGCAAGGAUAGGUCGGGUAGCCUAUCGGUUGGAGUUACCAGCGGAGUUGGGUCAGAUCCAUGACACUUUUCAUGUGUCGCAGUUGAGGAAGUGCAUAGCCGAUGAGUCGGCAGUGGUUCCAUUGGAGGAUAUUCAGGUGGAUGCGAGCCUGAAUUACGCGGAGAGACCAGUGGCUAUCAGGGAUCGGAAGAUCAAGGUUCUGAGGAACAAGGAAGUACCUCUGGUGUUGGUUCAAUGGCAACACCGUAAGGGAUCAGAAAUGACUUGGGAACCGGAGCGCGAAAUGCGGGAGCAGCAUCCGGAACUAUUUGCAGAGUGAGACUUCGAGGGCGAAGUCUAAUCCAAGUGGGGGAGAGUUGUAACAGCCCGGAAUCUCAGGUAUUAUUAAAAUUAUGUUUUUUGGGUGGUUUAAGAGGGGACUCGGCGAGUUGGAGCCUAGACUCGCCGAGUAGGAUCGCAGACUUGGUCGCGGGUCCGCGACUGGACUCGACGAGUCCAGAUAUGGACUCGGCGAGUCGACGCUGUUCAGCAGAAACCCUAACCGUUCAGUUUGAAUCGUAUAUAACGCCUCUUAGGCCGUCAUUUUCCGUCUUUUGAUCGAUUGAAAGGAACCCUAAUCGUUGUGGACGUCUAGGGCAGGAGAGAAAGCUAUUGGAACUUGGAGGAACUUGUUAGACAAGAAGAAGAAGAAAUUGGCCAAAGGAAUAUCAAGGAGGAUCGAGUCCUGAGGUUUGGGGGACACAGAGAGAACGUUCUCAGGUAAUACUCGGAUCAAUUCUGUUAGUUAAUGUGUUUAUGAACCUAGGGUUUAUGAAAAACCCAUUUAGUGAUUAGAUGGGUUAUUAUGUUAUUACCCAGAUGUUAUACCCACAGUAAUGAGAUGUUUAGACGUCCAGAGAGUCCCAUGGUUGUAUAUCUUGGGACCAUACGUAAUUCAGGAAGCAGUUACUCGUCUGCAUGGCAUGGACUCGCCGAGUUGUUCUUCAGACUCGGCGAGUAGCUUGAAGAUUUACUGGGACUCGCCGAGUUGUUCUUCAGACUCGGCGAGUGGAGUCGGGGUGGCCCCGCGAUUCUUCCAGGAGUAACUCGUCGGGUCGAGGAGGGUACUCGACGAGUAGAUAAGGAAUCUCAGAAAGUUGGAGGACGUCUAGACUCGCCGAGUCGCCAUGGUACUCGCCGAGUCCGGUCGAGCUGACCGUUGACCGUUGACCAGAGUUGACCUAAGUCUGACUUCUUAGGGAUAGUCACCCUUAGAAGAUAUAAGUGUUAAUGAGAUAUGUGAUGUUAUAGGAAGGUUGUAGCUCGUCGGAUUGUGCACGAGUGAUUUCAGGAGUUGCUAGCUUUCAGCAUUUACGAGGUGAGUCUUCUCACUAUACUGUACCCGGAAGGGUUUGACUGUGUGACCGGAAGGUCGGAUAUGUUAUGUGAUAUGUAUGCUAUAUGUGGUAAGUUAUUUGUUAUAUGUGCUAUGUAUGAUAUGUGGGCCGGAAGGCAAUAUGUUAUGGGCCGGAAGGCGAUUAUGUUAUGGGCCGGAAGGCGUUGUAUUGAGGACCGGAAGGUCAGGGCCUGGAAAGGCGUAUGUGCGUAAGUGUAUAUUGGGGAACUCACUAAGCAUUUAUGCUUACAGUCAUUGUGCAUGUAUUUCAGGUACUAGCGAGGACCGUGGGAAGGCGCCGGCGUGAUCGAUACACACUGAAGACUGUUUUUAUGAUCUUGGGGUUUUGAAUAUUUGUAUUUGACGGAAUACUUAAACUAUUUAUGCCUUGUUUGAAUGGAAAUAAUUAUGUUUUAAAAAUGAAAAAAAAAAUUUGUUUGAAAAUUUGAGUUGUUACA
RNAcentral lists this long non-coding RNA (6854 nucleotides) under Lactuca sativa (garden lettuce). RNAcentral's name for it is "long non-coding RNA (LSAT_LNC005913)". Lineage: Eukaryota; Viridiplantae; Streptophyta; Magnoliopsida; Asterales; Asteraceae. The record is from RNAcentral.